AGUGAACGCUGGCGGUAGGCCUAACACAUGCAAGUCGAACGGCAGCACAGUAAGAGCUUGCUCUUACGGGUGGCGAGUGGCGGACGGGUGAGGAAUACAUCGGAAUCUACUUUUUCGUAGGGGAUAACGUAGGGAAACUUACGCUAAUACCGCAUACGACCUACGGGUGAAAGUAGGGGAUCUUCGGACCUUGCGCGAUUGAAUGAGCCGAUGUCGGAUUAGCUAGUUGGCGGGGUAAAGGCCCACCAAGGCGACGAUCCGUAGCUGGUCUGAGAGGAUGAUCAGCCACACUGGAACUGAGACACGGUCCAGACUCCUACGGGAGGCAGCAGUGGGGAAUAUUGGACAAUGGGCGCAAGCCUGAUCCAGCCAUACCGCGUGGGUGAAGAAGGCCUUCGGGUUGUAAAGCCCUUUUGUUGGGAAAGAAAAGCAGCAGGUUAAUACCCCGCUGUUCUGACGGUACCCAAAGAAUAAGCACCGGCUAACUUCGUG
This 492-nucleotide ribosomal RNA is filed under the name uncultured bacterium. Its description in RNAcentral is "partial 16S ribosomal RNA". It matches the Rfam family "Bacterial small subunit ribosomal RNA", at positions 29 to 507 of the family's 1533-position model. The record is from RNAcentral.